AAAGCUUAGUUAUUAUAACGCCUAAUUUCAUAAACACUAUUUUAAUCCUUCACUAAUACUGAGUAAUUCUAUAUUAUUAUAGAAAAUUUUAUGUUAAAACUAGUAACAAGAAAAGACUUUCUCUUUAAUGUAAGUGUAAAUCAGAAGGGACAAACCACUGAUAUUUAUCAUCAUUGAGCCAAAAGUAGAAACUCACCAAGAAAAUACUACUUUCACCUAUGUUAAUCUAACACCAGAACAUUACAAGAAAGAUUAAAAGAAAAAGAAGGAACUCGGCAAAUAUUAACCUCGCCUGUUUACCAAAAACAUCGCCUCUUGAAUUUUAUAAGAGGUCCAGCCUGCCCAGUGACUUUAUUCAACGGCCGCGGUAUCCUAACCGUGCGAAGGUAGCGUAAUCACUUGUUCUUUAAAUAAGGACUAGUAUGAAUGGCACCACGAAGGUUAUACUGUCUCCUUUUUCUAAUCAGUGAAACUGAUCUUCCCGUGAAGAAGCGGGAAUAUUAAUAUAAGACGAGAAGACCCUAUGGAGCUUAAAACAUCCCAACAUUUGCUUAAAACUUUAAAUUUCAGAACAUUUUACUCCCUCAAGCAAUAUGAUUGUAAGUUUUUGGUUGGGGUGACCGCGGAGAACAAUACAACCUCCACGUUGAAAGAAUUUAUUCUAAGCUAAGAAUUACUAAUCUAAGCAUCAAUACACUGACAUUUCUUGACCCAAUAUAUUUGAUCAACGAACCAAGUUACCCUAGGGAUAACAGCGCAAUCUACUUUGAGAGCUCCUAUCGACAAGUGGGUUUACGACCUCGAUGUUGGAUCAGGUAUCCUAGUGGUGUA
Molecule: ribosomal RNA, 831 nt
Filed under: Rhinella nesiotes (Laguna toad)
Lineage: Eukaryota; Metazoa; Chordata; Amphibia; Anura; Bufonidae
Description: partial 16S ribosomal RNA
Rfam family: Bacterial large subunit ribosomal RNA
Source: RNAcentral